Molecule: long non-coding RNA, 540 nt
Filed under: Nicotiana benthamiana
Lineage: Eukaryota; Viridiplantae; Streptophyta; Magnoliopsida; Solanales; Solanaceae
Description: long non-coding RNA (NBEN_LNC023478)
Source: RNAcentral
CAUUAUGCUCAAAUAAAGUGUAAUUUAUCAUUAAAACAUGUAAAUACAAGGCACAUAAUGUACGAAACUUGAAAUUGUAGCCACACAUCAAUAAAUAUUUUUAGGCUCAAAGUAUAUUAACCAACUGCUUCCAACAAUAACUGACGAAUUUUCAGAUCAAAAUAAAAUUUUACUCCAAAUGGGUCUUCAAAAAUCUCUUCGUUGAAAUUCUCCCGGUUUGCUAUUGAUUUGGAGACUAUUUGUGAAUGCCCAGUGUCUUGUUGAGUGAAACACUUGGAACAAAAUAGUCCAUUAUCGAAGAACCCCUUGCAACUUCGCUUGAAAAGACUUCCAAAUCUGAAUUCUUUUCUCAAAAUUAAUUGGGUGUUGCUGGAAAUUAAUUGUUGAACCUUGAUAUGGAGUUUGGUUGGAACAAGAAUUUUGAGGUCCGCCUGAAAAUUUUUAGCCAUUUUUUUUUUGUUAUUUAAAAUACGUGAUGGAAAUAGAGGAGAAAGGGAUAAAAUCUUGGGUUAAGGUUGAAAAACUUCAGUGGAGUGCUCC